Long non-coding RNA from Ictalurus punctatus (channel catfish), 696 nucleotides. NCBI's taxonomy places the organism in Eukaryota, Metazoa, Chordata, Actinopteri, Siluriformes, Ictaluridae. The record is from Ensembl.
CCGAAUCCUAACCACUAGACAACCAGGGACGAAAACCGAGAAAUUGGUGGCCUCUUCGCUGGCCAUGCUGGCCCCUGUCUACCACCAAAAGCUCCUACGAAAGGCACGUGAGCAUCAGCACUGGAAAGUGGAGCAAUAAGAUGGUGGCUUGGUCUGAUGAAUCAUGUUUUCUUUUACAUCAUGUAUGGCUUAGGGUUAGGGUUAGAAAAGGCUUGAAAAGACGCUUGGCCAAGGAGUUGCACUUAAGCCUUGUCUUAUGCUCCAUUCCGGUUAAGGCUUGUGAAGACGGUUGGCACUUUGGAAAUGAUCAAAACAUAAGUGAGCCAAGGAAUUGCACUUAAGCCUUGUCUCAUGCUCCAUUCCCGUGAUGGGCAAGAGAACAUGGCACUGGACUUGAGCUGCACUGGGGUUUUACCUGUGCAAAUUGAAGCCUGCUAUGAACCUGUGUCUUAGUGCAGAGAAAACGCUGUUCAGAUGAGCAAGCAAGCGCCUUGGCAUUAAUCAAACAAGCUCGUGCCGAACAAAUCUUCCAUCCUAGGAAAUUGCUUUGACGUAAAGCAAGUCAUCCGAAUGUGUACUUUUAAACGCUCUGUUUACUUAAUUGAAGCAAAUGCACUGAAGAGGUGCAGAAAGAUGAGAAUAUAAACAUGGACAACACGUUUAUAGGCUCCAGAAAAAAAUAGUCUAGCGUUUCCU